Molecule: ribosomal RNA, 460 nt
Filed under: uncultured bacterium
Lineage: Bacteria
Description: partial 16S ribosomal RNA
Rfam family: Bacterial small subunit ribosomal RNA
Source: RNAcentral
CCUACGGGAGGCAGCAGUGAGGAAUAUUGGUCAAUGGACGCAAGUCUGAACCAGCCAAGUAGCGUGAAGGAAGACGGCUCUAUGGGUUGUAAACUGCUUUUGUACAGGAAUAAAACGAGGCACGUGUGCCUUUUUGCAUGUAUUUUACGAAUAAGGAUCGGCUAACUCCGUGCCAGCAGCCGCGGUAAUACGGAGGAUCCGAGCGUUAUCCGGAUUUAUUGGGUUUAAAGGGAGCGUAGAUGGGUUGAUAAGUCAGUGGUGAAAGUUCGCGGCUCAACCGUAAAAUUGCACGUGAUACUGGCAGUCUAGAGUACAGUUGAGGUAGGCGGAAUUUGUGGUGUAGCGGUGAAAUGCUUAGAUAUCAUGAAGAACACCGAUUGCGAAGGCAGCUUACUAAACUGUGACUGACAUUGAUGCACGAAAGUGUGGGUAGCAAACAGGAUUAGAUACCCUUGUAGUC